This 1413-nucleotide ribosomal RNA is filed under the name Triticum aestivum (bread wheat). Its description in RNAcentral is "partial small subunit ribosomal RNA". Lineage: Eukaryota; Viridiplantae; Streptophyta; Magnoliopsida; Poales; Poaceae. The record is from RNAcentral.
AUGAAUUGUUCCAGGUUCAAAAAAAAAGAAGGUACACUCCCACUCUCGUCUAGCACCGCGCCGCCGGCGGAAGCGACGGCGGCGGCGGCCGCCCGCGCAUCCAACUCCCCAGCAAAGCGCGACUCCGACGCGUCCGCCGCAUCCUCCCCAUUCGCUUCCACCUCCGCCGCCCGCGGCCGCGAUGACAACGACGACGGCAAAGACGCCCGCCGCUCCUCACCUCUCCUCCCGCACCACCAUCACCACAAGCAGCUCCUUCCGUCCCCCCUUCGCUCCCUCCUCGCCCUCGAGGACCCCAGGCCCCCCACCGCCCCCCUCUCCUACCGGAUCUUGCUCGCCGUCCUCGCGCUCCUCCUGCUCGCGGCCCUCUUCUCCGCGCCCUCCUUCUGGUCCCGCUUCAACACGCCCUACUUGUGCCAGAAGGAGGGGAUCACGCUGCAUUGCCCUCAGACGAAGGAGCCUCUCUCACUGUGGGAGAACCCACCUGCUGCCACCGCGUCCUGGAAGCCCUGCAUAUGUAAUGCUGUUGCAAUUGCUAAGAUAAUGAAAGCAACACUUAUUUUGCCAGUUCUGAAGCAAGACCAAAUAUGGAAUGACCAGACGGAAGUGCUACUUUCUCUUGUUACUUCUUCUACUUGUCUAUUCCCCUGCUGUAAAUUUGAAGAUACCGUUGAUGUGGAUCAUUUUGUAAACUAUCUGAAGGACAGCCGUACUGUAAAGAACAUCCCAAAGUAUUCAUCUGCACAGUAUGACAAUGUUCCGAUGGAGAUUAACCGACUAAGAUGCAGAGUUAAUUAUCACGCCUUAAAGUUCUUACCUGAUAUUGAAGAAAUGGCUGAUAAGCUGGCAACAAAGAUGAGGAACCAAACUGGCAGCGGGAAUCUCUUCUAUUCAAUCUCUUUGGAGGCCCUUCAUCUGAGAUAUGAGAAAGGAAUGGCGGGCCUGUCCUUUUGUGAUUUUGCUGGAACACGUGACGAGAAAGUGAUGAUGGCAGCUGAUACACAGAAAGAAUGGUCACGGCACUUUAAGAAUGGAUCUCACCUGUGGCCAUUAGCACUGCAAAAGAGAAAAGAACGUGUUGCCCCCUUGAGCCUGGUGACCAAGGAGGAGCUGGCGAGCACGACGGAGAUGGAGCACUUCCGGAAGCACGUGACGAGCCUGGCGUCCGUGAUGACGCACGGCGGCAACUUCGCCAAGCUCAUCAUGGGGGCGCGGCUCUACAGCGGGCUCAUGUCCAGGUCCCACGGCGACCCGUACCUGUCCUGGGCCUCCUUCGCCGAGGACGUCGUCAUCUCGCACCAGGCCUGCGCCGGCCUCCCGGAGCCCACCUUCCUGGCUACGACCUCUGGGAGAACUACCUCACCCCCUGCAUGUGCAGAGCAUGAGACAGACCGAGUAGCGGCAGACGUGUGA